RNAcentral lists this ribosomal RNA (520 nucleotides) under uncultured Glomus. RNAcentral describes it as "SSU rRNA". It matches the Rfam family "Eukaryotic small subunit ribosomal RNA", at positions 569 to 1091 of the family's 1831-position model. Lineage: Eukaryota; Fungi; Glomeromycota; Glomeromycetes; Glomerales; Glomeraceae. The record is from RNAcentral.
AGCAGCCGCGGUAAUUCCAGCUCCAAUAGCGUAUAUUAAAGUUGUUGCAGUUAAAAAGCUCGUAGUUGAAUUUCGGGGUUAGUAGGUUGGUCAUGCCUCUGGUAUGUACUGGUCUCACUGAUUCCUCCUUCCUGAUGAAUCUUAAUGCCAUUAAUUUGGUGUUUUGGGGAAUUUGGACUGUUACUUUGAAAAAAUUAGAGUGUUUAAAGCAAGCUAACGCUUGAAUACAUUAGCAUGGAAUAAUGAAAUAGGACGUUCGAUCCUAUUUUGUUGGUUUCUAGGAUUGACGUAAUGAUUAAUAGGGAUAGUUGGGGGCAUUAGUAUUCAAUUGUCAGAGGUGAAAUUCUUGGAUUUAUUGAAGACUAACUACUGCGAAAGCAUUUGCCAAGGAUGUUUUCAUUAAUCAAGAACGAAAGUUAGGGGAUCGAAGACGAUCAGAUACCGUCGUAGUCUUAACCAUAAACUAUGCCGACUAGGGAUCGGAUGAUGUUAAUUUUUAAUGACUCAUUCGGCGCCUUAC